Molecule: small RNA, 138 nt
Filed under: Phormidium sp. OSCR
Lineage: Bacteria; Bacillati; Cyanobacteriota; Cyanophyceae; Oscillatoriales; Oscillatoriaceae
Description: L10_leader
Rfam family: Ribosomal protein L10 leader
About the family: This family is a putative r-protein leader autoregulatory structure found in B. subtilis and other low-GC Gram-positive bacteria. It is located in the 5' untranslated regions of mRNAs encoding ribosomal proteins L10 and L12 (rplJ-rplL). A Rho-independent transcription terminator structure that is probably involved in regulation is included at the 3' end.
Source: RNAcentral
AACUGAAUACGCUCUCAACCAGAGACAGCAGGGGUGUUCAACACGUAAUAUCCUGCCGAGGUGAGGAGUUUGGAGGUCGCAGCCUGCGUCCCCCAACCCUUCCCCCGGCAUCUCGACUGGGGGCUUUUUGUGGAGGGA